UUACGGGUGGCAGCAGUGGGGAAUAUUGGACAAUGGGCGAAAGCCUGAUCCAGCCAUGCCGCGUGUGUGAAGAAGGCCUUCGGGUUGUAAAGCACUUUCAGUGGGGAAGAAAGCCUUGGGGCUAAUACCCUCGAGGAAGGACAUCACCCACAGAAGAAGCACCGGCUAACUCCGUGCCAGCAGCCGCGGUAAUACGGAGGGUGCGAGCGUUAAUCGGAAUUACUGGGCGUAAAGCGCGCGUAGGCGGUCUGAUAAGCCGGUUGUGAAAGCCCCGGGCUCAACCUGGGAACGGCAUCCGGAACUGUCAGGCUAGAGUGCAGGAGAGGAAGGUAGAAUUCCCGGUGUAGCGGUGAAAUGCGUAGAGAUCGGGAGGAAUACCAGUGGCGAAGGCGGCCUUCUGGACUGACACUGACGCUGAGGUGCGAAAGCGUGGGUAGCAAACAGGAUUAGAUACCCCGGUAUC
This 463-nucleotide ribosomal RNA is filed under the name Vreelandella stevensii. RNAcentral's name for it is "partial 16S ribosomal RNA". It matches the Rfam family "Bacterial small subunit ribosomal RNA", at positions 339 to 794 of the family's 1533-position model. The record is from RNAcentral. Lineage: Bacteria; Pseudomonadati; Pseudomonadota; Gammaproteobacteria; Oceanospirillales; Halomonadaceae.